RNAcentral lists this ribosomal RNA (2751 nucleotides) under Salmonella enterica subsp. enterica serovar Virchow. RNAcentral describes it as "partial 23S ribosomal RNA". It matches the Rfam family "Bacterial large subunit ribosomal RNA". Lineage: Bacteria; Pseudomonadati; Pseudomonadota; Gammaproteobacteria; Enterobacterales; Enterobacteriaceae. The record is from RNAcentral.
AAUCCAUAGGUUAAUGAGGCGAACCGGGGGAACUGAAACAUCUAAGUACCCCGAGGAAAAGAAAUCAACCGAGAUUCCCCCAGUAGCGGCGAGCGAACGGGGAGGAGCCCAGAGCCUGAAUCAGCAUGUGUGUUAGUGGAAGCGUCUGGAAAGGCGCGCGAUACAGGGUGACAGCCCCGUACACAAAAGCGCAUGUGCUGUGAGCUCGAUGAGUAGGGCGGGACACGUGGUAUCCUGUCUGAAUAUGGGGGGACCAUCCUCCAAGGCUAAAUACUCCUGACUGACCGAUAGUGAACCAGUACCGUGAGGGAAAGGCGAAAAGAACCCCGGCGAGGGGAGUGAAAAAGAACCUGAAACCGUGUACGUACAAGCAGUGGGAGCACCCUUCGGGGUGUGACUGCGUACCUUUUGUAUAAUGGGUCAGCGACUUAUAUUCUGUAGCAAGGUUAACCGUAUAGGGGAGCCGUAGGGAAACCGAGUCUUAACCGGGCGUUAAGUUGCAGGGUAUAGACCCGAAACCCGGUGAUCUAGCCAUGGGCAGGUUGAAGGUUGGGUAACACUAACUGGAGGACCGAACCGACUAAUGUUGAAAAAUUAGCGGAUGACCUGUGGCUGGGGGUGAAAGGCCAAUCAAACCGGGAGAUAGCUGGUUCUCCCCGAAAGCUAUUUAGGUAGCGCCUCGUGAAUUCAUCUCCGGGGGUAGAGCACUGUUUCGGCUAGGGGGCCAUCCCGGCUUACCAACCCGAUGCAAACUGCGAAUACCGGAGAAUGUUAUCACGGGAGACACACGGCGGGUGCUAACGUCCGUCGUGAAGAGGGAAACAACCCAGACCGCCAGCUAAGGUCCCAAAGUCAUGGUUAAGUGGGAAACGAUGUGGGAAGGCCCAGACAGCCAGGAUGUUGGCUUAGAAGCAGCCAUCAUUUAAAGAAAGCGUAAUAGCUCACUGGUCGAGUCGGCCUGCGCGGAAGAUGUAACGGGGCUAAACCAUGCACCGAAGCUGCGGCAGCGACACUGUGUGUUGUUGGGUAGGGGAGCGUUCUGUAAGCCUGUGAAGGUGUGUCGUGAGGCAUGCUGGAGGUAUCAGAAGUGCGAAUGCUGACAUAAGUAACGAUAAAGCGGGUGAAAAGCCCGCUCGCCGGAAGACCAAGGGUUCCUGUCCAACGUUAAUCGGGGCAGGGUGAGUCGACCCCUAAGGCGAGGCCGAAAGGCGUAGUCGAUGGGAAACGGGUUAAUAUUCCCGUACUUGGUGUUACUGCGAAGGGGGGACGGAGAAGGCUAUGUUGGCCGGGCGACGGUUGUCCCGGUUUAAGCGUGUAGGUGUGUGUUCCAGGUAAAUCCGGUUCACUUUAACACUGAGGCGUGACGACGAGGCACUACGGUGCUGAAGCAACAAAUGCCCUGCUUCCAGGAAAAGCCUCUAAGCAUCAGGUAACAUCAAAUCGUACCCCAAACCGACACAGGUGGUCAGGUAGAGAAUACCAAGGCGCUUGAGAGAACUCGGGUGAAGGAACUAGGCAAAAUGGUGCCGUAACUUCGGGAGAAGGCACGCUGACACGUAGGUGAAGUGAUUUACUCAUGGAGCUGAAGUCAGUCGAAGAUACCAGCUGGCUGCAACUGUUUAUUAAAAACACAGCACUGUGCAAACACGAAAGUGGACGUAUACGGUGUGACGCCUGCCCGGUGCCGGAAGGUUAAUUGAUGGGGUCAGCGCAAGCGAAGCUCCUGAUCGAAGCCCCGGUAAACGGCGGCCGUAACUAUAACGGUCCUAAGGUAGCGAAAUUCCUUGUCGGGUAAGUUCCGACCUGCACGAAUGGCGUAAUGAUGGCCAGGCUGUCUCCACCCGAGACUCAGUGAAAUUGAACUCGCUGUGAAGAUGCAGUGUACCCGCGGCAAGACGGAAAGACCCCGUGAACCUUUACUAUAGCUUGACACUGAACAUUGAGCCUUGAUGUGUAGGAUAGGUGGGAGGCUUUGAAGUGUGGACGCCAGUCUGCAUGGAGCCGACCUUGAAAUACCACCCUUUAAUGUUUGAUGUUCUAACGUGGACCCGUAAUCCGGGUUGCGGACAGUGUCUGGUGGGUAGUUUGACUGGGGCGGUCUCCUCCUAAAGAGUAACGGAGGAGCACGAAGGUUGGCUAAUCCUGGUCGGACAUCAGGAGGUUAGUGCAAUGGCAUAAGCCAGCUUGACUGCGAGCGUGACGGCGCGAGCAGGUGCGAAAGCAGGUCAUAGUGAUCCGGUGGUUCUGAAUGGAAGGGCCAUCGCUCAACGGAUAAAAGGUACUCCGGGGAUAACAGGCUGAUACCGCCCAAGAGUUCAUAUCGACGGCGGUGUUUGGCACCUCGAUGUCGGCUCAUCACAUCCUGGGGCUGAAGUAGGUCCCAAGGGUAUGGCUGUUCGCCAUUUAAAGUGGUACGCGAGCUGGGUUUAGAACGUCGUGAGACAGUUCGGUCCCUAUCUGCCGUGGGCGCUGGAGAACUGAGGGGGGCUGCUCCUAGUACGAGAGGACCGGAGUGGACGCAUCACUGGUGUUCGGGUUGUCAUGCCAAUGGCACUGCCCGGUAGCUAAAUGCGGAAGAGAUAAGUGCUGAAAGCAUCUAAGCACGAAACUUGCCCCGAGAUGAGUUCUCCCUGAGACUUUAAGUCUCCUGAAGGAACGUUGAAGACGACGACGUUGAUAGGCCGGGUGUGUAAGCGCAGCGAUGCGUUGAGCUAACCGGUACUAAUGAACCGUGAGGCUUAACCUUACAAC